GACGAACCGUGCGAACGUUAUUCGGAUUCACUGGGCUUAAAGGGCGCGUAGGCGGACUCGCCAGUCCGGGGUGAAAAUCUUUCGGGCUUAACCGGAAAAGUGCCUUGGAUACUGACGAGCCUUGAGGAAGGUAGGGGCAUGUGGAACUUCCGGUGGAGCGGUAAAAUGCGUUGAUAUCGGAAGGAACGCCGGGUGGCGAAAGCGACGUGCUGGACCCUUCUCUGACGCUGAGGCGCGAAAGCCAGGGGAGCGAAACGGGAUUGAGAAACCCCAGGUA
This 277-nucleotide ribosomal RNA is filed under the name uncultured bacterium. RNAcentral's name for it is "partial 16S ribosomal RNA". It matches the Rfam family "Bacterial small subunit ribosomal RNA", at positions 524 to 792 of the family's 1533-position model. The record is from RNAcentral.